GCCCAUGCCAUGCUGAAUAUACCGGUUCUCGUUAGAUCACCGAAGUCAAACAUCAUUGGGCGCAGUCAGUACUUGGGUGGGUGACCACCUGGGAACAUCGCGUGCCGUU
RNAcentral lists this ribosomal RNA (109 nucleotides) under Caerostris extrusa. Lineage: Eukaryota; Metazoa; Arthropoda; Arachnida; Araneae; Araneidae. The record is from RNAcentral.